GACGCAAGUCCGAGUUGUAAUUUGAAGAAGGUAAUUUUUGGGGAGAUGUGAACAAAAGUUCCUUGGAACAGGACGUCAUAGAGGGUGAGAAUCCCGUUUUGUUUACCUCUCUCUCCUUGUAAAAUGCUUUCGAAGAGUCGAGUUGUUUGGGAAUGCAGCUCUAAGUGGGUGGUAAAUUCCAUCUAAAGCUAAAUAUUGGCGAGAGACCGAUAGCGAACAAGUACAGUGAUGGAAAGAUGAAAAGAACUUUGAAAAGAGAGUGAAAAAGUACGUGAAAUUGUUGAAAGGGAAGGGUUUUAAGGGAGACUUGGGAGGUAACGAACAAUUUUCUUUCGGGAAGGUGCACUCGUUGCUUUCUAGGCCAAUAUGGAUUUGAAGAGUGGGAUAAAAGGAUAGGAAUGUAGCCACUCGUGGUGUU
This 418-nucleotide ribosomal RNA is filed under the name Sugiyamaella sp. BG090815.8.6.1.3.34. RNAcentral describes it as "eukaryotic LSU rRNA". It matches the Rfam family "Eukaryotic large subunit ribosomal RNA", at positions 129 to 552 of the family's 3401-position model. Lineage: Eukaryota; Fungi; Ascomycota; Dipodascomycetes; Dipodascales; Trichomonascaceae. The record is from RNAcentral.